This 248-nucleotide ribosomal RNA is filed under the name Salmonella enterica subsp. enterica serovar Muenster. RNAcentral's name for it is "partial 23S ribosomal RNA". It matches the Rfam family "Bacterial large subunit ribosomal RNA", at positions 1296 to 1547 of the family's 2925-position model. The record is from RNAcentral. Lineage: Bacteria; Pseudomonadati; Pseudomonadota; Gammaproteobacteria; Enterobacterales; Enterobacteriaceae.
GCUGACAUAAGUAACGAUAAAGCGGGUGAAAAGCCCGCUCGCCGGAAGACCAAGGGUUCCUGUCCAACGUUAAUCGGGGCAGGGUGAGUCGACCCCUAAGGCGAGGCCGAAAGGCGUAGUCGAUGGGAAACGGGUUAAUAUUCCCGUACUUGGUGUUACUGCGAAGGGGGGACGGAGAAGGCUAUGUUGGCCGGGCGACGGUUGUCCCGGUUUAAGCGUGUAGGUGUGUGUUCCAGGUAAAUCCGGUU